Long non-coding RNA from Mercurialis annua (annual mercury), 1243 nucleotides. RefSeq lists it as uncharacterized. Lineage: Eukaryota; Viridiplantae; Streptophyta; Magnoliopsida; Malpighiales; Euphorbiaceae. The record is from RefSeq and is a predicted model, not a curated record. The transcript has 2 exons.
AAUCCCUUAAAAGUGGUCAUGUCUAAUGUUUUUACCUCAGCUUUUUUAUUUUUGCAGUAAUCUCUCAAUAAAAUGAAAAACAUUUCACAAUUCCCUCAUACCCCAUAAUAAAUUUGUUUUAACAUAAAAUAAGACAUUUAUGCCCUCAUUCUUCUUAACUGAAAUACAAAAGAAGAAAUUGAAAACAAUUCCAAUAUUGUUAUCCUGAUCGGCCUGUGGUGGUUAGACCGACGGCGCGGAGGUCUCACUGCCGGAGACAUAAAGAUCCAUCGCCGACAAAAAGAUGAAGAGUUGAAGAGUUUGAUUUACCACCAGUGCGGUGGUCACCCAUCUUACCAAUUUCAUAAAUAAGUGAAGGAAGCGAAUUUGGUGUUGUGACUCAAAGGAUUAGAGAAGAGAGGGGUUAAUUUCAAGAUUUCUGCUUUACAUUUCUAGAUUUAGGAUUUAUUUUUACUUAUAUUAUACACAUCACUAAGUUUCUUAUUUUUUUGUUAUGAAAAUAGCUUCUCUCUGGCUUUCGUUUCCUCUGUUUUGCUCGCUUUUAUGUAUCUUAUUCAAUUGCAUACACUUUUUAUGUUGGUGGUAAUGAUGGUUGAGUCUAAAAUCCACAUGAGAAUUAUAAUGAAUGGGCUGGUAAAAACAGAUUUUAGUCGAUGAUUCUUUUGGUAAGUUUUUUGUUUGUUCAUUUUGAUAAGUUUGCUUCUGUGUGCUGUGAUUAUUUGUUCAUUUUAGUGUUAUUUUUGUGUGCUUUGUUUCAGUGUUCAAUUUAAAGAAUGGGACGAAAUAAGUUUUGUUAGUGAGUAAACAUGAUUAUUACAAUUGCAACACAAAGAAUACGAUAAUGAUGAUUAUUACAAUUUUUCAAAUGUGCAGGAAAUUGCAAUUGUUGCAUUUUUGAGGAAUUUUGGAUGUAUUUGCAGGUAAUUAACUACAUAUAUGAAAAUCUUACUGAUAUAUCGAAAGUUUGCUUGUUUAUCGAUUGUUUUCAAUAUUCUUUUCAAUAUUUAGACGAAACUAUGAGUAAUUUAGCAUUAGGUUCCCUUGCUAAUGUAAUUUUAUGUUCAUCAUGCAUUUAAGCACUGUUUUAGAUAUGCGUGUUUCAUCUGCGGAGGAAAUGCAGUUUGGUUAGGGUGAAUGCAAUGGAAAGGUUGUGAAAGGGAUGUUUGUAAAGCCAAAUAAAGAGAUAUGGGACAUGUUUUUUUUUUUGUAGAACAUAUAAUAAUGCUAUAGAAGCUUGUAUUAA